Molecule: ribosomal RNA, 300 nt
Filed under: uncultured Pyrobaculum sp.
Lineage: Archaea; Thermoproteati; Thermoproteota; Thermoprotei; Thermoproteales; Thermoproteaceae
Description: bacterial SSU rRNA
Rfam family: Bacterial small subunit ribosomal RNA (bases 52-300)
Source: RNAcentral
UGUGGCGCGGGGGCGACGGCGGCGGUAGGAGAGUGGGGGCGUGCGUUGUGCGGAAUUACUGGGCGGAAAGGGCGCGGAGGUGGCCGACUAAGUCCGACGUGAAAUCCCCAGGCGUAACCUGGGAACGGCGUCGGAUACUGGUUGGCUUGAAUUCGGGAGAGGGAUGCGGAAUUCCAGGUGUAGCGGUGAAAUGCGUAGAUAUCUGGAGGAACACCGGUGGCGAAGGCGGCAUCCUGGACCGACAUUGACACUGAACCGCGAAAGCCAGGGGAGCAAACGGGAUUAGAUACCCGUGUAGUC